AGAACGAACGCUGGCGGCAGGCUUAACACAUGCAAGUCGAACGGGUGUAGCAAUACAUCAGUGGCAGACGGGUGAGUAACACGUGGGAACCUUCCUCGUUGUACGGAACAACUCAGGGAAACUUGAGCUAAUACCGUAUACGUCCGAGAGGAGAAAGAUUUAUCGCAAUGAGACGGGCCCGCGUCGGAUUAGCUAGUUGGUGGGGUAAUGGCCUACCAAGGCGACGAUCCGUAGCUGAUCUGAGAGGAUGAUCAGCCACACUGGGACUGAGACACGGCCCAGACUCCUACGGGAGGCAGCAGUGGGAAUCUUGGACAAUGGGCGCAAGCCUGAUCCAGCCAUGCCGCGUGAGUGAAGAAGGCCUUAGGGUUGUAAAGCUCUUUUGCCAGGGACGAUAAUGACGGUACCUGGAGAAUAAGCCCCGGCAAACUUCGUGCCAGCAGCCGC
This 447-nucleotide ribosomal RNA is filed under the name uncultured bacterium. Its description in RNAcentral is "SSU rRNA". It matches the Rfam family "Bacterial small subunit ribosomal RNA", at positions 26 to 518 of the family's 1533-position model. The record is from RNAcentral.